GCACUUCUCCUCGCUGCUGCCACGUGAGAAAGGAUGUGUUUGCUUCCCCUUCUGCCGUGAUUGUUUCCUGAGGCCUCCCCCCCAUGCUGAACUAUGCAAUCUUCCUCCUUUGUCAAGUGAAUACACUAAGGAUGUUGGAUCCAAAAGUCAGUUAGUGACAGCUAAUCCCAGCAUAAUUCGGCAAAGGUUUCAGAACCUUCUGUGGUCCAGAAAGACAUUUGUGGACAACAUGAAAAUCUAUAACCACAGUUACAUCUACAUGCCUGCCUUUUCUAUGAAGACAGGAACAGAGCCAUCUUUGAGGGUUUAUUAUACACUGUCAGAUGUUGGUGCCAAUCAAACAGUGCUGUUUGCCAACCCCAACUUUCUGCGUAGCAUUGGAAAGUUCUGGAAAAGUAGAGGAAUCCAUGCCAAGCGCCUGUCCACAGGACUUUUUCUGGUGAGCGCAGCUCUGGGUCUCUGUGAAGAGGUGGCCAUCUAUGGCUUCUGGCCCUUCUCUGUGAAUAUGCAUGAGCAGCCCAUCAGCCACCACUACUAUGACAACGUCUUACCCUUUUCUGGCUU
RNAcentral lists this small RNA (564 nucleotides) under Pan troglodytes (chimpanzee). RNAcentral describes it as "processed transcript". Lineage: Eukaryota; Metazoa; Chordata; Mammalia; Primates; Hominidae. The record is from RNAcentral.